This is a small nuclear RNA of Ictidomys tridecemlineatus (thirteen-lined ground squirrel), 69 nucleotides long. NCBI's taxonomy places the organism in Eukaryota, Metazoa, Chordata, Mammalia, Rodentia, Sciuridae. The record is from Ensembl.
CCCUAAUGAAGAUUAGCAUGGCUCCUGCACAAGAAUGAUGUGCAAAUUUAUGAAGAGUUCCAUAUUAUU